UAAUACGGAGGGUGCAAGCGUUAGUCGGAAUUACUGGGCGUAAAGCGUGCGUAGGUGGUUUGUUAAGUCAGAUGUGAAAGCCCCGGGCUCAACCUGGGAACUGCAUUUGAAACUGGCAAACUUGAGUAUAGGAGAGGAAAGUGGAAUUUCUGGUGUAGCGGUGAAAUGCGUAGAUAUCAGAAGGAACAUCAAUGGCGAAGGCAGCUUUCUGGACUAAUACUGACACUGAGGUACGAAAGCGUGGGUAGCAAACAGGAUUAGAUACCCUGGUAGUCCACGCCGUAAACGAUGACAACUAGCCGUUGGGGGGAUUUACCCUUUAGUGGCGAAGCUAACGCGUUAAGUUGUCCGCCUGGGGAGUACGGCCGCAAGGUUA
Molecule: ribosomal RNA, 376 nt
Filed under: uncultured Gammaproteobacteria bacterium
Lineage: Bacteria; Pseudomonadati; Pseudomonadota; Gammaproteobacteria
Description: bacterial SSU rRNA
Rfam family: Bacterial small subunit ribosomal RNA
Source: RNAcentral